AAACCAACAGGGAUUGCCUCAGUAACGGCGAGUGAAGCGGCAAGAGCUCAAAUUUGAAAUCCGGCCCCCCUGGGGGCCUGAGUUGUAAUUUGCAGAGGAUGCUUCGGGCGCGACCGCGGUCCAAGUCCCCUGGAACGGGGCGUCGUAGAGGGUGAGAAUCCCGUCUCCGGCCGGCCGGUCUCGCCCGUGUGAAGCUCCUUCGACGAGUCGAGUUGUUUGGGGAUGCAGCUCCAAAUGGGUGGUAAAUUUCAUCUAAAGCUAAAUACUGGUCGGAGACCGAUAGCGCACAAGUAGAGUGAUCGAAAGAUGAAAAGCACUUUGAAAAGAGAGUUAAACAGCAUGUGAAAUUGUUGAAAGGGAAGCGCUUGCGACCAGAGUCGGCCGUGGGGGUUCAGCGGGCAUUCGUUGCCCGUGCAAUCCCCCGCGGCCGGGCCAGCGUCGGUUUCGACGGCCGGUCAAAGGCCCCCGGAAUGUGUCGCCUCUCGGGGCGUCUUAUAGCCGGGGGUGCAAUGCGGCCAGUCGGGACCGAGGAACGCGCUCCGGCACGGACGCUGGCUUAAUGGUCGUCAGCGAC
Molecule: ribosomal RNA, 574 nt
Filed under: Histoplasma capsulatum
Lineage: Eukaryota; Fungi; Ascomycota; Eurotiomycetes; Onygenales; Ajellomycetaceae
Description: eukaryotic LSU rRNA
Rfam family: Eukaryotic large subunit ribosomal RNA
Source: RNAcentral